AUGAACGCUGGCGGCGUGCCUAAUACAUGCAAGUCGAGCGAACAGACGAGGAGCUUGCUCCUCUGACGUUAGCGGCGGACGGGUAAGUAACACGUGGAUAACCUACCUAUAAGACUGGGAUAACUUCGGGAAACCGGAGCUAAUACCGGAUAAUAUAUUGCACCGCAUGGUUCAAUAGUGAAAGACGGUUUUGCUGUCACUUAUAGAUGGAUCCGCGCCGCAUUAGCUAGUUGGUAAGGUAACGGCUUACCAAGGCAACGAUGCGUAGCCGACCUGAGAGGGUGAUCGGCCACACUGGAACUGAGACACGGUCCAGACUCCUACGGGAGGCAGCAGUAGGGAAUCUUCCGCAAUGGGCGAAAGCCUGACGGAGCAACGCCGCGUGAGUGAUGAAGGUCUUCGGAUCGUAAAACUCUGUUAUUAGGGAAGAACAAAUGUGUAAGUAACUAUGCACGUCUUGACGGUACCUAAUCAGAAAGCCACGGCUAACUACGUG
Molecule: ribosomal RNA, 496 nt
Filed under: uncultured bacterium
Lineage: Bacteria
Description: partial 16S ribosomal RNA
Rfam family: Bacterial small subunit ribosomal RNA
Source: RNAcentral